CAGUCCGAGCAGCUUUCAGAAUGACAGUCUGCAGAAGUGAGCUGAGCGUGUGUGCGGCACAGAGCUCUCCUGCCUUCUGGGCUCCGACACAGCUCUGUGGCUGAACUGGGUGCUCCCACCAGAAAUGCUGGGCUAUGGAAUACAGAUUUGGCAGCUCAGGUACCCCCGUGUUGCCUGAAGGAAUACAUCAUGCUUUCCGAUAAGAAGAAAUUUUAGAAGCCAGCUUUUUUUUUUUUAACGCACCCCCCUCUUCUCCUCAAAAAAAAAAAAGAAAGAAAGAAAGAAAGAAAGAAACUGUAAAGAUGCAAAAACGUAAUAUCCAUGAAGAUCCUAUUACUUAGGAAGAUUUUGAUGUUUUGCUGUGAAUGCGGUGCUGGGAUUUAUUUGUUCUUGGAGUGUUCUGCGUGGCUGGCAAAGAAUAAUGUUCCAAAAUCGGUCCAUCUCCCAAGGGGUCCAAUUUUUCUUCCUGGGUGUCAGCGAGCCCUGACUCACUACAGUGCAGCUGACAGGGGCUGUCACGGAAGUGCCCCCCUAAGCCAAAGCAAAAGACCUAAGGACGACCUUUGAACAAUACAAAGGAUGGGUUUCAAUGUAAUUAGGCUACUGAGCGGAUCAGCUGUAGCACUGAUUAUAGCCCCCACUGUCUUACUGACAAUGCUUUCUUCUGCUGAACGAGGAUGCCCAAAGGGCUGUAGGUGUGAAGGCAAAAUGAUAUAUUGUGAAUCUCAAAAAUUACAGGAGAUACCCUCAAGCAUAUCUGCUGGUUGCCUAGGUUUGUCCCUUCGCUAUAACAGCCUGCAAAAACUUAAGUAUAAUCAAUUCAAAGGGCUCAACCAGCUUACCUGGCUGUACCUCGACCAUAACCACAUCAGCAAUAUUGAUGAGAAUGCUUUUAAUGGAAUACGCAGACUCAAAGAGUUGAUUCUGAGUUCCAACAGAAUCUCCUAUUUCCUCAACAAUACCUUCAGGCCGGUAACAAAUUUACGGAACUUGGAUCUGUCCUAUAAUCAGCUGCAUUCUCUGGGAUCUGAACAGUUUCGAGGUUUGCGGAAGCUGCUGAGUUUACAUUUACGAUCUAACUCUCUGAGAACCAUCCCUGUGCGAAUAUUUCAAGACUGCCGCAACCUGGAACUUUUGGACCUGGGAUAUAACCGGAUCCGAAGUUUGGCCAGGAAUGUCUUUGCUGGCAUGAUCAGACUGAAAGAACUUCACCUGGAGCACAACCAAUUUUCUAAACUCAACCUGGCCCUUUUCCCAAGGCUGGUGAGCCUUCAGAAUCUUUACUUGCAGUGGAAUAAAAUCAGUGUCAUAGGACAGACCAUGUCCUGGACUUGGAGUUCAUUACAAAGGCUUGAUUUAUCAGGCAACGAGAUAGAAGCUUUUAGUGGACCCAGUGUUUUCCAGUGUGUCCCAAAUCUGCAGCGCCUCAAUCUGGAUUCCAACAAGCUCACAUUUAUUGGUCAAGAGAUUUUGGAUUCUUGGAUAUCCCUCAAUGACAUCAGUCUGGCUGGGAAUAUAUGGGAAUGCAGCAGAAAUAUUUGCUCCCUGGUAAACUGGCUGAAAAGUUUUAAAGGGCUGCGGGAGAAUACAAUUAUCUGUGCCAGUCCCAAAGAGCUGCAAGGAGUAAACGUGAUUGAUGCAGUGAAGAACUACAGCAUUUGUGGCAAAAGUACCACGGAGAGGUACGAUCUGGCCAGAGCUCUCCCAAAGCCAACAUUUAAACCCAAGCUCCCCAGGCCUAAGCAUGAGAGCAAACCCCCACUGCCCCCCACGGUGGGGGCCACGGAGCCUGGCCCAGAGACCGAGGCCGACUCGGAGCACAUCUCUUUCCAUAAAAUCAUCGCAGGGAGUGUGGCCCUUUUCCUGUCCGUGCUCGUCAUUCUGCUCGUUAUCUACGUGUCUUGGAAACGGUACCCUGCGAGCAUGAAGCAGCUGCAACAACGCUCUCUCAUGCGAAGACACAGGAAAAAGAAAAGGCAGUCCCUAAAGCAAAUGACUCCCAGCACGCAGGAAUUUUAUGUAGAUUAUAAACCCACCAACACGGAGACCAGCGAGAUGCUACUGAAUGGGACAGGACCCUGCACGUAUAGCAAAUCAGGCUCCAGGGAGUGUGAGAUACCUUUAUCAAUGAAUGUUUCAACCUUUCUGGCAUACGACCAGCCCACAAUAAGUUACUGUGGGGUGCAUCAUGAACUUCUCUCUCAUAAAACCUUUGAAACGAAUGCACAGGAAGAUACAAUGGAAACACACCUAGAGACUGAGCUGGACCUGAGUACAAUCACAACAGCUGGCCGAAUCAGUGACCAUAAACAGCAGCUGGCUUAACUGAACUAAUUGAUAGCCAAGGGUUGCUACCAAACUGUAACCUCAAGGACAAAAAUGAGGAAGAUUUAUUCAUUGUGGACUUUAAGAACGAAACGAAAUCCCCUGUUCAAAUAAACAAAAAUCCGAGAUUGAUUCAUGAAAUAAAGAAGACAUGAAUUGUUUCAAGUCUACACUUUGUAAUUAGCUAAGUUGUGCAGUAUUUUUUGACUUAAACAAGAUUAUGAUCCUGAAAAAAAGAAAAGGAACCCUUUUUUUUCAAAACUCAUCCUACCUACCUGUAAAAACUGUACAGAGCUAAUGUAUUUUUCAUAUUGUAAAGUUUCAAUUAUAGAAACAACUGGUAUGUACAGUAACAUAAUUUAAUUACAUUUUACUUUACAAACUUUACACCUUUGAGUUUCUAAAAUUUUAAAUUAACAAAAAUUAUUUCUUGUGUUAUUCAGAGUUACUCCGUUUUGUAGGGACUGUUUUGUUACUGCUUUUGUGCCCAGAAACCUAAAAUUCUGUGCUGUGCAAAAUCUGCACGAUUUUUAUCAUGCUUACUGCGUAGAAUUUUAUCUACUUGUUCCAGAAAUAAUACAUUAACCAAAAGGGUUUAAUUGUUGAGACUUGUAAGAAGUUCUUCAAUUACAUAGACAGGUUUUUCUUAUAAAUGAAAAAAAAAAUCAAAGAAAAAAAUGAAAGAUUUUUUUUAACACUUCUCGAACUUAACUGUUGCCUUGAAUUACAGCCUAGUUUCUAAGCAGUGAAAUGUAAUCAUAAAAAGGGAUAUUUUAACAACAUAUUUCCGAAUGAAUGACUCAUUAUUUCAUUCUUUUUGAGUAACCCAUUGUUAAGAGUGGGGGGAAGCAUGGACUAAACAUCCCUGGAAACAAAGGCCGUAACCACAGCAACAGACUUUGAUAUACUUAAAAGGUGCAGCUGCCAGUGACAAAGAAAAACUUUGGUUACAUCUCAUUAUUUUCAGGCCAAGGUGGGAGGAUAGAGCAUAAUAACUGUACAGCAGUAAUUUUUCUUCUAAUUAACCCAAAGUGGUUUAUCUAAAAAUAACCAUCAUUCAGUGCAAAAUGUGCCUAGUUUUUACGACAACUUCAUAUUUAGAACUUCGAUGCUAUAUUUUGGGACUAUCUCAAAGAAAAUACAUGAAAUUAUCUCCUGGGGAAAGCACUAAACAUCCACAGAUAUGAGCCAUGAGUAAUUCUGGUUCUGGACAAGAAAGACAAACUUCUGGUAUCUUGGUUAGAGAUGUGGUGAAAGACAAAGAAGAGGACCAAAAAUUACAAACACUCAGAGGUGUGUACACUGUCUACUGCUAAGAGAACACUUGUGAGGAUUUAUAGACUAAAUGUCUGCAUAAUUGAACAGUUUAAGAUAGUGAUUAGGAGGCAAGUUACAUUUCAUCAUUGCUAUUGAACAAUCCACUGUACACUAAACUUUCUAUAAAUUCAUUCCUUAAAAAUAUCCUACCUUGAAAAUACUUACAAAAAUAGGGCAAGAGAAUUAGUGUUUGUGGCUGGGGGUGGCCAAAAUAGACAAAAAGGCAUUAGAAGUAAACAAUAAAAGUAUGAUGAUACAAUUCUAAGGAAGUAAGAUUUGGCAUUGACUAAGUAAUUUAUCACUCACUUGAAUUAUGUGGAAUAAAAUAUAUUAAAUUUCUCUACUAUAUUAGCAUAUUUCACAGGUAACUUUGGCAGAAAAGCAAGGAAUAGUGUUUCAAGGUCCUAAAUAAACCACAGGGAGAGUAAUGUAUUAUUCUACUUGUUUUCACUCUUUCUUGCAUGUCUUAAUCUUCUUUUCUUCCUGCCACCUCUUCUUCGAAUGAUAUAUGAAGUAUACAAAUGUGCUGAUAGUGAGGAAGAAUGACAAGACUUAGAGAGGAUAUCAUUUAUUUACCUUGCCAUAUGAAUUAUCCAGUUGUACAAAAUGAUAUGGCCCCAUUACCUUUCCCAAAAGUAUGAGUAAGUUGAUAUUUAACUCAUAGCAGGUCUGACAACUGAAAUCAAGGCUCUACAGUAAGUCACUCUUUCUCCAGUAAUUUGAAUAUCUCAGAAAAAUUCAGAUAAGACACAAAACUUCCCCUUUGAAAUGAUGCUCUGACUCUUUUAAUAAAAUAUCAUCUUCUUUGUGGCUGAAUUUUAUUAAGACUUUAAAAACCCUUUGACUAAUUAAAGAUGGCUUUAAAUGACUGUGGCAGUUUAUGAAAGAUGAAGAAACUUGUUAAUGAAAAUUGUUUAAAAAUACUGAAAUGUCUAUUAAAUAUAUUUUUGUCAAAUCACUGUGUGGUAAAAUGUUAUCCACUUGUGUGUACUUAUAUGCAGUUUCUGUGAUGGAUGGAAGAAUAAAAGAAACUCACUUCU
Sorex araneus (European shrew) is the source of this 4682-nucleotide RNA transcript. It is a transcript of the gene named leucine rich repeat transmembrane neuronal 3, with no coding region annotated. The record is from RefSeq and is a predicted model, not a curated record. The transcript is spliced from 5 exons. Lineage: Eukaryota; Metazoa; Chordata; Mammalia; Eulipotyphla; Soricidae.